Molecule: long non-coding RNA, 817 nt
Organism: Marmota monax (woodchuck)
Lineage: Eukaryota; Metazoa; Chordata; Mammalia; Rodentia; Sciuridae
Exons: 3
Source: RefSeq, a predicted model, not a curated record
AGAAGUGAAAACGGAGCUCGGUGCUGGUCGCCCGCAGCUCCGCCAACCCCAGGGUCCCCAAGCGCGCGGUGCCCAGCGAACCCCGCGAAGGCUCCUUCGGUGCAGCGGGUGGACAGGCCAGAGCUCCCGCCCCAGGGGGCUUCCUGCUUCUGCCCCCCCCCCCCCCGACUCCGGGGAUUGAGAGAUCUCGAUCUGGGGGCACAGGAGGGACAGAGGGACCUCCCUGGGCGCUCUCGGCAGCUUCCUCGGGUCGACUUUUAUGGAAACCCAGAGACACUUCAGAACAGGCUCGAACUGGUUUCAUGGAGGAUUGAGAAACCUGACUCCCUACCCCUGGCUACAAAGCUGUGCUGGCUCUGCUUGCAACAUUGUUGCAAAGUAGCUAUGGACUCGCUUUCCGGAAUCCUUCCAAGGGGACAGAAGUCCCCGGGCUGGCCACCUCCCCAGCUCGUCUCAAGAGUUCCUGAAAAAAUGCUCCCAGAUGGAGGGACAAAGCACUGAGAACGUGUGUCCUUCAGGUCUGGAGCUUCUUCUGCACCCAAGAGGAGUUGAGGCAAGUUUUAUAAAUAUGAAAUCAGCUGCAAAAAUAAACAGGUCCUCUGAGUUAAUAAGAGGAAAUUGAAUAUAUUAUAAAUGUCAAUCAGCCAGGCACGGUGGCCCACGCCUGUUUUCCCAGCAGCUCAGGAGGCUGAGGCAGGAGGAUGGCGAGUUCAACGCCAGCCUCCGCCAAAGCGAGGCCCUGAGCAACUCAGGGAGAUUCUGUGUCUCUGCACACGGAGGCCCAGAGUAGAUCUCUAGGUCCAGAGAAAGGAGUACG